GUGCCAGCAGCCGCGGUAAUACGUAGGUGGCAAGCGUUAUCCGGAAUUAUUGGGCGUAAAGCGCGCGUAGGCGGUUUUUUAAGUCUGAUGUGAAAGCCCACGGCUCAACCGUGGAGGGUCAUUGGAAACUGGAAAACUUGAGUGCAGAAGAGGAAAGUGGAAUUCCAUGUGUAGCGGUGAAAUGCGCAGAGAUAUGGAGGAACACCAGUGGCGAAGGCGACUUUCUGNGUCUGUAACUGACGCUGAUGUGCGAAAGCGUGGGGAUCAAACAGGAUUAGAU
This 280-nucleotide ribosomal RNA is filed under the name uncultured Staphylococcus sp. Its description in RNAcentral is "partial 16S ribosomal RNA". It matches the Rfam family "Bacterial small subunit ribosomal RNA", at positions 505 to 783 of the family's 1533-position model. The record is from RNAcentral. Lineage: Bacteria; Bacillati; Bacillota; Bacilli; Caryophanales; Staphylococcaceae.